UUUUUGCUGAGGGACUGGGGAGGAGGGAAGAAGGGGCAUGCAAAUGUGUUUCAGGUGUUUUAUAUGUGCUCAAAUGAACCCAGGGAGUUUGGGAUCCAUCUAUAAGACAAAAUAUUGUUGGCAACCCUGGAUUUGCUGUAGUUUGCGCUAGGAAACCAUGACAGCUCUGAAUUUUCUGCUUCCUUAAACUUUUUCAAGAGGUGAGUUUGGUUGUUUGAUAUCCUAAGGUUGAUAAAGGAAAUUAGGGGUGUACUCGACUCCAUUCUUUGGUCUGAACUGUGUUUAGCGAGUAGCAGGUAUGCUAGCACACUUGAAACACAUUCGCAUGCUCCCUCCUCCCCUCAAAAAAAACUGCACUCAAGCAGAAAAGAGGGAUCUUCAGGCUUUAUGCUGUUAUUUGGUGACCUCCUUUUUGAUUAGCACUUGUUAAGUUUCCUCUUAUCCAGUUAAAUUAGAUUGUAAAAAUGUUGUGGAAAGCACCCGUGCCACCAUAUGUGUGGGCUUAUCUACUCAAGGAAUACCAGAUCAAUAAGAGAACCAAAUGUGAAAAUUUUGUGUGAAUUUUCAGAUGUGUGGUACAGUGUGAGAUGUGUGGGACCAUGUGUUCCAAAAGUCACUUGGUUUCUCUGAUGUCUUCAGACCAAGAAUAGCCUAGGGUUAUUUGACCGAGUAGGGAGGAUCUAUAGGGUAUGGUUAAGUGUUUGAGCUUAGAGGCCUGGUGAAGAAGUUAGUUACCUUGGUUUGAAUAUUCACCUGAUUUCCAACUUUUGUUAACAUCUUUGAGCCUCCAUAUUCUCGUAUAUAAAAUGAGGAUAGUAAAUAACCUAUCUCACAGGAUUUCUAUGAGGUUUAAAUAAGCCUCCCUCCCUGCUCUGCCCCUCCUCAUCUCUGCCCGCUCUUUCUCACUCCCCAGGAUCUGGGUCAUACACAGACCAUCUCUUAGGAAGGAGUAAAGUAGGAGAUAAAAACUAAUCUUUAUCUGAUGUUCUUGUCCAACAUGUACUGGCAUUUCCAGGUGUACAAAGCUGAUUAAAAUCUGAAGACCUAUAUUCUUUUUUAAACGUUGUUAAUUAAUCUUCAUAUGGCGUUAGCCAGCUCACUUACCUUGGAGCUUACCUUCUGCAUCUUUUAAAUGGGAAUAGUGCUUUCCCACUAUCCGUUGUAUACAUGUUGUUCCCUCUGCUUGGGAUUGUCUUUCUUCUUUACUCCACUCUACCUUUAUGUCAGGAAGCUGCUACUCAUCCCUCAAAAGCCUUCUCUAUGUGAUCUCCUUCCCAAAACCUUCUGAGAUACUUCCAGCGCCAUCUCUGGCCAGAGGAUAUUAGGACUUUCUGCUGCUAAGGAAUCACAAUUCCUUGUUAAUUUCCUUAUUAUAGCACGUUUCAUAUAAAUCAUUUGUUCACUUCUCCUGUUAGAUUGUAAACUCUUUAAAGAUAGAAUUCAUUCUUGUUCAUUUUUUAAAAAUCAUCCCAGUGUCAGCACAGUGCCUAGAACAGAAUAGGCCUUUAGAAAAUGCGCUACCUCACAAUGUUAUCCUGUGGAUAAUUACUAGAUAUGAAAGUGUUUUAUAAAUUAUAUACCUAAAAUAUACCUAAAAGAUCUAGAAGGUGUUAGUAUUAAGAGAAAACUGCAUGAGUCUGCAUCAGGAAGUUCAUCCCUUUCAAAAUCACAGUGCCCACUAAGCUUAGGUUUGAAUUGAUGCCAAAGUUUGCCUCAUUAGGAAAAAGAUUAAAUUUUUCUUAAUGCUCUGAUUACUUCUUAUUAGGGCAUUUGAAUAUUGUUACUAAUUGGUCCUGGAGCUUGGAAAAGAAAAUCUCAUAUUCAUACUUUACACAUUGUUUUAAUUUGACA
This is a long non-coding RNA of Macaca fascicularis (crab-eating macaque), 1851 nucleotides long. The record is from Ensembl. NCBI's taxonomy places the organism in Eukaryota, Metazoa, Chordata, Mammalia, Primates, Cercopithecidae.